Molecule: long non-coding RNA, 929 nt
Organism: Lycium barbarum (goji berry)
Lineage: Eukaryota; Viridiplantae; Streptophyta; Magnoliopsida; Solanales; Solanaceae
Exons: 3
Source: RefSeq, a predicted model, not a curated record
GUCAGAUUUUUCACAACAAUCCAAUAAAUUCGCAAAAUUAAACGGACCAAGUAGUAGGAUAAAAUGAGUGGAGCGAAUACACAUCUAUAGAAACAUAUUUUGGGCUGGUCAUGAAACUAUUUUUACAAAGGGAAUCAACACCUAAUUUGAUCAUAAUCAGUUCAAGUGGUGGUAUAUAUGUAUAAACCAGAUCCUUCAUUUUUGGUUAGUUUAAAAACGGCACCAACAGAAGCUAAAUGAUAGCAAAUCGGAGAUUUCGUCGAAGUGAAGUAAGGUGGAAGAAAAUAAGUUCUUGGCAUAUAAGGAUUGGCGUAAGCAUUAUGAAGAGUUCAUUGUUGGUUCAUAUUGGCGACUUGAGGUACAGAUAGAUAGACUGGCAGACCUCCCCAGUAGGUAGAACUUGAUAUCAGCUGAUUGGUGAGCUCCAUUUCUUCGGAGUUGUCAGGUCUUUUGGAGUCUUUCUUUUGUGGUUACAAAUUGGAUGGGUUGACCGGGGCCCUGUCCCGACCAUAAUAUAGUUAUGCUUUCUCUAGAAGCUUGUAGACGAGUCAUGUAUAUAGUUUGUCAGUGUGAUAGCCUUGCCAGCUUAUAUAUGUCUAUUUUGGUAUUGUUCACUUUGUACGAUCAUAGAAGCCUUAUCAGCUUGCUCAGUUGUAUAUAUAUGUUUUGGGUGUGUGUGACCAGUUCAGAUGAGGUAUCCAGUGUUUAUGUAUAUCCAAAUUGUGGCCUUGCCGGCUUGUGGGUAUUUUCUGUGUGCAGAUAGGCCCUAUCAGCCUAAGUUGAGGGUUCCCCCUCUAGAGUUGCAGAUUUAGAAUGGUUCGCUCGGACGAGUGUGGCACUGGGUGCCUGUCGCGCUUCUCCAUAUUUUGGGCGUGACAUGUCGACAGCACAGCUUAGUUUCCAUUGCUUUUAGUUUGCAUUUUAUGUAA